AUGAUUAGGAACCGGUACAAUCCAAUUUACAUCAAAAAACAUAUAACUACAAAGGUUGUCACUCGUGUUCUUGUCGUCAACCCUCCUGAUGGCAACUAUAUGGCAUGGCGGAUUCUGAUGGACAGCAACAUACCACAGUGCAGCGGUUUGUCUCUACUUGGUACCCUGCAGUUUGUCUCUACUUGUUAUCCUGCAGGAUACAGAAGAAAUUCAGAGAAAAUCUAG
RNAcentral lists this ribosomal RNA (225 nucleotides) under Triticum aestivum (bread wheat). RNAcentral's name for it is "partial small subunit ribosomal RNA". Lineage: Eukaryota; Viridiplantae; Streptophyta; Magnoliopsida; Poales; Poaceae. The record is from RNAcentral.